UUCAAAUAUAUCAAAAUUUUAAAGAAUUACUACAAUAUCCAUCCAAUUUUCAAAAUUUCCCCCAAAUUUGCAUUACCUUUAAUUGUUGUGUAUCAUUUGUGCAUGUCAUUAUGAUUGAUGACAUACAUGUAUGUAAAUGUCGUGGGACUAUCAGAUUGCUAUACCAGUAAAAAUGGUGAAAUGGUGUUUCAUGAUGGAAAUAAACAUUUCAAGAUAAAUUUUUCAUUUUUAGAAUCAAUGAUAUCUUCUGAACAAUCUUAGACGUUGUGAUUGCACACUUUGCUUUCCAAUACCUUAUAUUUUAUCAUUCACAUGAACAAUAGUCUGGAACUGUUGUUCUGUGGGUUAAUGAUGUAUUCAACUGUACUGAAGUGUUUUUAAACAGCAUAUUAGGAAUUAUUUUCAGGUAAAAAUGAUUGGAUCUUGUAGUUAAAGAAGACAAUUAAGCCUAUAAAACUGAUACAUGUACUAUACAGAUCCAUUUUUGGGGGGUGGCGUUUAUUGCAUUCUUUAUGUACAUAUAUUUUGAUAUCUUGCUGUUUUUUGUUGUUGAUUUUUCACUUUAGUAUGUUUAACAGUAUAAUUUUUAUGGGUGAAAAUUGAGAGCAGUUAUUGAAUAUUGACAUAGAAUGGGAUACAUGUAACAUGCAAUGACCAAUGUUCUCAGUCUUCCUUUCUUUCCCUUCUAUCCAUGUCUGAUUACCAAAAUGAAUCAUCCUUCAUCAAUAGUAAUGCUGCUUAAACACAUUCAGGUCUUUAAUGAGAAUGCUACAUCACAGUGAGGAGACAUUAGCCUGCAUCUUCAGCCCAUCAUAGUUAAAAGCACAAGAUAAUCAGGUUAACCUUAAAAGUAAGGACAAUUGAUCUUCAUUUAAAAUGUCUUUUAGGUGCGUUACUUGUACAUUCUGCUUGAAAACGGGAGGUGUAGGUACAGAGAACGUUGAUGGCCUUUUCAUAGUUUUAUAUCUUGAUUUCAUGUUGAAGAUCAUACUAUAAGUGACCUUUCCGUCUGUAAUGUACAGUAGAGCAGCCUUUUUUAUGUAGAUUAGUGAAAUAUAGUGGUCUGUAAAACCACAACAUUGGACGUUGGACCACAUCUGGGCAAUCAGCAAUCGUCUUUAUAUCUCUAGAAUCAACAUUGUAGCAAAUGUUAUACUUCAUUUGAUUGUAGAUGAAUGCACAAUUCAACAUUAUAUUGCUAUACAUAAUUCCUUUUUUUUCCCUCAUAAAUAAUCAGCAUUUUGAAUCGAAAAACUGGACAGGAAUUUUCUCUAUAAUCCAGACUUGCUGUAAGUUGAUGCCUAUAUCUAUUGGAAGAUGAUUCUUUAAUUGGCCAGAUGCAUUUCCAUACCCUAUCUGGCGUAAAACCAAAAGUUGCAUUUGUUCAGGCUAUAUUCAUGUCAACAAGCAGAUGUUAAAAAGUAGAAUAAUCGAGUGUAUAUAUGUAAAUUUACUUUGUAUGCUUUGCCUUUUAUUAGGUUGAUAUU
Long non-coding RNA from Strongylocentrotus purpuratus (purple sea urchin), 1487 nucleotides. RefSeq lists it as uncharacterized. The transcript has 2 exons. Lineage: Eukaryota; Metazoa; Echinodermata; Echinoidea; Camarodonta; Strongylocentrotidae. The record is from RefSeq and is a predicted model, not a curated record.